GAUGAAGAACGCAGCGAAAUGCGAUAAGUAAUGUGAAUUGCAGAAUUCAGUGAAUCAUCGAAUCUUUGAACGCACCUUGCACCCUUUGGAAUUCCAAAGGGUAUGCUCGUUUGAGUGUCAUUGUACUCUCACACUCUCCGAUCCUUUGGAUUUGGGGAGCGGUGGACUUGGGUGUUUGCUGCUUUCAUUGUGGCUCACCUCAAAUGUGUCAGUGCAACUCUUGGUUGGACAUAGUACGGCGUGAUAAGUGUCUUCGCCGGCGCCUCUGUAAGGAGGGUGGCCGAUCGGGAGCUCUGUGCUUCAAACCGUCUUCGGACAAUCUUUGACAACUUGACCUCAAAUCGAGUAGGACUACCCGCUGAACUUAAGCAUAUCAAUAAGCGGAGGA
RNAcentral lists this unclassified non-coding RNA (388 nucleotides) under soil metagenome. Its description in RNAcentral is "partial contains 5.8S ribosomal RNA, internal transcribed spacer 2, and large subunit ribosomal RNA". The stretch from base 1 to 120 matches the Rfam family "5.8S ribosomal RNA", at positions 35 to 154 of the family's 154-position model. The record is from RNAcentral.